RNAcentral lists this ribosomal RNA (264 nucleotides) under Copelatus sp. MB0073. Its description in RNAcentral is "partial 18S ribosomal RNA". It matches the Rfam family "Eukaryotic small subunit ribosomal RNA", at positions 259 to 521 of the family's 1831-position model. The record is from RNAcentral. Lineage: Eukaryota; Metazoa; Arthropoda; Insecta; Coleoptera; Dytiscidae.
UUUCGGCUGAUCGCACGGUCCAGCACCGGCGACGCAUCUUUCAAAUGUCUGCCUUAUCAACUGUCGAUGGUAGGUUCUGCGCCUACCAUGGUCGUAACGGGUAACGGGGAAUCAGGGUUCGAUUCCGGAGAGGGAGCCUGAGAAACGGCUACCACAUCCAAGGAAGGCAGCAGGCGCGCAAAUUACCCACUCCCGGCACGGGGAGGUAGUGACGAAAAAUAACGAUACGGGACUCAUCCGAGGCCCCGUAAUCGGAAUGAGUAC